Balaenoptera musculus (blue whale) is the source of this 3608-nucleotide long non-coding RNA. RefSeq lists it as uncharacterized. The transcript is spliced from 3 exons. Lineage: Eukaryota; Metazoa; Chordata; Mammalia; Artiodactyla; Balaenopteridae. The record is from RefSeq and is a predicted model, not a curated record.
AAAGGGAAGUGUGUUUAUGCCUAUGGGGACAGACGUCAGAGACAGCGCAGCCCUGUGGCAGAUGGCCUGUCCUUUCCUCUGCUGCCCAGCGGAGCCCUGCGGCCCAGGGGUUCAGGCAGAGCCCGGGAGGAGGGCCUCUGCAGAUGAAGACCAAGGGAAGAGCUGUGAGGGAGGGGCCCCGGCAGGGCUGGAGGAGGAGCAGGCUGAGGAAAUCACCCACGGGAGCUAAGGGGCCUCUGGACACUCGGCAGGGCCCGGAGCGGUGGAAGAAAAGGCUGCGGGUUCUGACAAAGCCCAGGGCACUGAGCCCGCAACUGCUGCCAUCCCAGGCAGGGGCACCACCCUGCCCCGCCCAGCCUUGGCCAGUCCUGACACCCAGGCCCCUGGAGACAGCGGCUCACGCAAGCGGGUGUCCCGCGCUCCCCCAGCAGAUAGGAGACCAGACCACGAGCGCUGAGGGGAAAGUAGCCUGACUGGCCGGUUACCUGGACAUACGGCGUGGGGACGUGGGAAAGGGAGGAUUCGGGAUGACGGCUGGGCUUUGGGUAGGAGAGGAGAACCCGGAGACCAGGACACAGGUCACCAUGGUGGGCAGUACGUGGUCACGGCCCAGUCCCUGGGCCACAGAGCCAGCCGUCUGCACCCAGGCUGUUGUGGUCCAGUGACUUUAAAGUGGGAGGCAACGUGACAGAGGGUCCCUCGGUUUCCCCAUCCCUAGACUGGCUGGGGCAGUAGUACCUCCUUCAUCGUGUUGGGAGCUUUAAAUGAGAUGAUCUGUGUAAGGUCCAUGGCCCAGUGCCUGGCAUGUGGAGAAUGCUCAAGAAAGGGUACCCAUUGCUGUUGUCUUUAUGGAAACGUCAAGUGCCCACUUUGGCUGUGGCCAGAGGGUUCACAGGAUGGUGAACUCCCUAUAUCUGAUGUGAAAGUGACGACAAGCCGCUGACACCAGGCAAUCCUUCUAACUCAAUGAGACAAACAAGCGCUCAACCACUUGAGAAAUUAAACGCAGACUGCCUGGUACGUCUGCAGCCUCAGGAAGCCUGCCUGCUCCUCUGCAAACAGCUACCACACCACCAGCGAACCGGGCACCUGAGAUUCGGGAAGCACUGGCCCUGGGCCACUGUCAACUACGAAAACAAAGGAAAAAUGGGGACGUUCUGCCUAGAAGCCCUUCGUAAACUACAGAGCCUACAGAGCUGCAGCUUGGUCACUGAGAGUCCAUCUGGGUGUCCAGCCCUCGGGUGUUUCAAGCCCAUGACACUCGGCCUCCCGGCACCAGCCCCUCCUGGCCUCUCUGGCUCGCCUGGGGCUCAGAGUCUCUUCUAGGGCACAGUGUGGUGUGACAGACGUGCUUAGCUCUGCCCCGGAGGUCAGGUGUGAACCUGGACAAGCAUCUUUCCCUCUCUGGGACUCAGUUUCCCCAUAUGUACCACAGCAAGUGAUCUCAAGGUCCCACCCACUUGCACAGCCCUUGAUUUACAAAGGAUUUGGUUUGCAUUUCCUUACUGAGUCAGACUUGGGCAGGACAGAGAUUCACAAAUGGAGAAAGUGAGGCCUUGCUGGCCCACAACUGUAAUCCAGGUCUCUGGCCGGUCCAGUGCUCUCUUCAGCAACCGCCAUCCUGGGACAGGCUAAGGACCACAGAGCUGGGCACUCCCCGCAGCCUCAGCACGGGCACCUAUAGGCUGCACCGACACCCACUUGGCAAGGACGACUUCCUGUGGCCUCCGAUCUGCAGGGCCUCACCUCAGCAAACGGCGAUCCAGACUCCGCUCUCACCUCCCCCCUCGGCUGCCAGCCCCAGGCCCCGGCCGCUCACUCCCCUGGCCUUUGCUUGACCCAAGUCCUAGCCUGAACCCAGGAGGACUCUCUCCUCUCACCCCCAGUUGGCCUCCAGCCCCGAGGCAGGCUCACGCCUCAGCAAAGCUAGGCCCACAGCAGCGGAAGCCAGAGGAGGACACAUAGGAUGGGGGGUGUGGAGGCAGCUGGUGCUCCCUGCCCACAGCCCAUCACCACUGGGACCUCCCCCAGCUGCUCCCCCUCGGAGCCCUGUCUCCCUGAGUCCCCUGAGGCACUUUCAGCGGUCUCGGCUAGAUGAGAGCAGCUGGGUCACUGGGCCAAGCUCUCCACCCCUCCCUCUCGGUUGGGUAGGAAGAAUGCCCACUAUUGGGCCUGCUCGGCCACCAGCACCAGCAGGAAGCCAGACCACUAUGCUCAGCCUGCGUGGAGAGCAGCUCUGGGUGCAGGGCCUGGGGCCGCAGGCGUGGAGGUGCAACAGGGGAGGGACUAACGUGGAGCACCCACGGUUGUGGGACUCCAAAGAAAGGUGAGGUCACUCUUCUGCAGCAUGAACCCUACCGCGCUUCCCGUGGGCGGGACCCUGCCUGGCCAGCAGGCCGAGCUCUCCUGGCUGCUCGGCACAGGCUUCCUCUGGCCCAGCCAGGCAGCCUUCCCCCAGAGCGGGGCUCCUUCCCACCAGGCACACCCCACACAGAGCUCCCAGCAGCCAGCAGCCCCUUCCAGCCUCCUCCCCUCCUGCCCCACCAGCCCGGCCUCCGAGGGCCUUCAAUCUAGGCUGGCCCCAACUCUUCUUCCCACAGCUGGUACAGUUUUCUUUCUACCCAGAGCCCGUCUUGGGCCCCCAGCCCGAAUGGCUUUCUGCCUUCCAAGCCCUAGCUCCCCUCUCUGGUGUGGCGAGCAGAACUCUCUCCCGAGGACGUGCCCGGGGAUCCAGAGGCUGUCACAUCCCCUUAGUGGGGCUGUAGGGCAGGUGACAAGGAGCCAAGCCGGCCUUGUGGCCUGGGCAGAAACGGCCCUUCCGGGAACCAACUUAUACACCCCUUCCUGACUGUUGGGAAAUGAUCUACAACUUCCUCCAAGAAGUCCAAAGUCCAAGUUCAAAAGCAGUUCUGAAGGGAUGUGGGGCUGAAAUGAAUUAUCAAACACCUCCCACAAGGGCCAAGGCCAAGGCUUGACCUGAGCAAGCCGCUGGGCCCUGAGGGCCCUCUGGCAGCCUGGCCCGGGUCUCGCCCUGCCGCCUACACUCUGCCCUGGCCACCCCAGGCGACUCUCAGCUCCACUCCCUGCCCUCAGGCCUCUGCACAUGUUGUUCUCCUUACUGGAAUACUAUCCCCUCCCCUCCCAGUCAGUCUGGAUAACUCAUAUGUUUGUCCAUGCGUUCAUUCAACAAAAGUUCCAAGGGCCUCUUCUGUGCACUAGGCCUGGGGCUGGAUGCCAGGGACAGCUACGGCCCAGGCAGCUUAGGAAGGCCCCUGUUCUCAGGCGGCUUGUGUUCUGGGGCACAGACAAUGGACAGGUAAUGACUUGGAUAAAAAGGGCAUCCAAUGGUGGGGCCCUUGCAGGCAGCAUCUGGGGAGGUCGGGGAAGGCGGCCCUGAGGCCAUGGCCUCUGCGCGUGAGGAGCCAGGGAAGGAGGCUGAGGGAUUUGCUGGGAAAGGAGAAAUCGAGGGAGGAACAAGCCUGUGCCAGGGUGUGUGUGAAGCCAGUCACGAGCCCCGAUCAUCCUCUGGAUCUCAGUAAGAUUAAAACGUCACUCCUGGGCUUCCCUGGUGGCGCAGUGGUUGAGAGUCUGCCUGCCAGUGCAGGGGA